AUUGAACGCUGGCGGCAGGCCUAACACAUGCAAGUCGAGCGGAUGAAGGGAGCUUGCUCCUGGAUUCAGCGGCGGACGGGUGAGUAAUGCCUAGGAAUCUGCCUGGUAGUGGGGGAUAACGUCCGGAAACGGGCGCUAAUACCGCAUACGUCCUGAGGUAGAAAGUGGGGGAUCUUCGGACCUCACGCUAUCAGAUGAGCCUAGGUCGGAUUAGCUAGUUGGUGGGGUAAAGGCCUACCAAGGCGACGAUCCGUAACUGGUCUGAGAGGAUGAUCAGUCACACUGGAACUGAGACACGGUCCAGACUCCUACGGGAGGCAGCAGUGGGGAAUAUUGGACGAUGGGCGAAAGCCUGAUCCAGCCAUGCCGCGUGUGUGAAGAAGGUCUUCGGAUUGUAAAGCACUUUAAGUUGGGAGGAAGGGCAGUAAGUUAAUACCUUGCUGUUUUGACGUUACCAACAGAAUAAGCACCGGCUAACUUCGUG
RNAcentral lists this ribosomal RNA (484 nucleotides) under uncultured bacterium. RNAcentral describes it as "partial 16S ribosomal RNA". It matches the Rfam family "Bacterial small subunit ribosomal RNA", at positions 30 to 507 of the family's 1533-position model. The record is from RNAcentral.